GCAGCCGCCGCGGGAAUACAGAGGGUGCGAGCGUUAAUCGGAUUUACUGGGCGUAAAGCGUGCGUAGGCGGCUUUUUAAGUCGGAUGUGAAAUCCCUGAGCUUAACUUAGGAAUUGCAUUCGAUACUGGGAAGCUAGAGUAUGGGAGAGGAUGGUAGAAUUCCAGGUGUAGCGGUGAAAUGCGUAGAGAUCUGGAGGAAUACCGAUGGCGAAGGCAGCCAUCUGGCCUAAUACUGACGCUGAGGUACGAAAGCAUGGGGAGCAAACAGGAUUAGAUACCCGAGUAGUCCCUGUCUCUUAUAC
RNAcentral lists this ribosomal RNA (302 nucleotides) under uncultured bacterium. RNAcentral describes it as "partial 16S ribosomal RNA". It matches the Rfam family "Bacterial small subunit ribosomal RNA", at positions 508 to 807 of the family's 1533-position model. The record is from RNAcentral.